CAUACAUGCCAUACGUCCCGAUCUCGGCGGGACAGUCCCGCUUUUGGGCCCUUUGUCCCGCCGUCCCGCCAUGAGACGAUUUGUCCCGACAUUCGUAAAAAACGAUGUAAGGUGUAUAGGUUCCCAAUAAAAUUCGCUAUUCAAGCUCUGUUUCCCUAACACUUAACACCGCUAAUCCCUUUAUUGCCCCCAAUUAACAAUCCGAUUCUACUUAUCGUGUGUACCAGUGUUGUUUAUGACACCUUAUCAGCGAUUUAUCGGCUAAUUAUUGAUUUCAUCAGGCAUUCACACCAUGGUGGUCUUCAAGAUAGUGGUCGCUUAUUGCUAUCGAUAGUUUUAUUAUAAUGAAAUAAAUGUUGAAAAUGUGUUUAUUUUGUAUUUGUUUGAAACGGUUUACAAAACAAUUGUUUUGUAAUAUUAACGCUACGUCAUAAAUGAGUCUUUUACAUUCAAUAUUUAGUUCCAAUAUAGCGGGAUAUUCCGAAUGUGCAAUAUACCAAAAUCGCAACAAACAGUCCAAUAAGUGAUACCCAUCCUGUCUAGUGUAAUUGUAAUAAAAACAACGAGGUGCUAUGCAUGACAGUUUGACCCUACUCCAAUUAAGCCGCGACAAUUGACAAGUAACAAACUGCGCAUGGACACAUGCUUAAAAAAACAUCGCAACAAACAGUAAAAGAGUUACCCAUCUUGUCUUGUGUUAUUGUAAUAAAAACAACGUGUUGUUAUUCAUGACAGUUUGACACUACCCCAAUACAGCGCCUGACAAUUCACAAUUCAGUUUAAUCUGUGUAUAUAGGAAGAAAACAAAAUACGGAAAUGUGUACGGCCGCGCAUUCCGUGUGUAACUGAUGUAACUGUUCGGUAGAUAGUGUACUGUAACCCGUACUUUCAGUCAACUGGAUAGCCUCCCCUGCGUUAAUGUUUGCCAUUGAAAUUAAUAUAAUGAGUAUUGUUGUCGUAAUGUUGUAGAUUUUGUACUCUUAAACAGAUGAAUAUUAUCUUCGUUGUUUGCUAUUGUCUUAUUUAAUAAAACUGUUAUUGUUAUGUUUUAGAUUUCAUGCUUCAUAUCAGAUGUUUUAUGUCUUGAAUAAAAGUAUCAAGAGUU
Long non-coding RNA from Dreissena polymorpha, 1105 nucleotides. RefSeq lists it as uncharacterized. Lineage: Eukaryota; Metazoa; Mollusca; Bivalvia; Myida; Dreissenidae. The record is from RefSeq and is a predicted model, not a curated record. The transcript is spliced from 2 exons.